UGGGGAAAUAAAAGUGCCAUUCAGAUCAUUAGAACUUGAUGAUUGGUUGGGAUGUGGAAGUUGGGGAGACCUAAGGAUCUGGGAUGGGAGCAAGUUUCUGGCUUAGGAAUUGAACCAUUCUUGGAUGUGACAUAGGCUAGCCUCUCUCUAGCUUUUCAACUCCUUUGCCUGGAACAUUUUUCAUUUCCUCUUUGCUGUUUCAUAACUUUCACCAGACCAGUUCCUACUCACAGGAUCUGUUCAUGUCUCUCAGAAGUUCUUCCUGAGCUAUCAAGUCUAUUUUGGUAGCGUCUCUAG
Molecule: long non-coding RNA, 297 nt
Filed under: Bos taurus (domestic cattle)
Lineage: Eukaryota; Metazoa; Chordata; Mammalia; Artiodactyla; Bovidae
Description: long non-coding RNA NONBTAT026287
Source: RNAcentral